Molecule: ribosomal RNA, 468 nt
Filed under: uncultured bacterium
Lineage: Bacteria
Description: partial 16S ribosomal RNA
Rfam family: Bacterial small subunit ribosomal RNA
Source: RNAcentral
GACGAACGCUGGCGGCGUGCUUAACACAUGCAAGUCGAACGGAAAGGCCCUGCUUUUGUGGGGUGCUCGAGUGGCGAACGGGUGAGUAACACGUGAGUAACCUGCCCUUGACUUUGGGAUAACUUCAGGAAACUGGGGCUAAUACCGGAUAGGAGCUCCUGCUGCAUGGUGGGGGUUGGAAAGUUUCGGCGGUUGGGGAUGGACUCGCGGCUUAUCAGCUUGUUGGUGGGGUAGUGGCUUACCAAGGCUUUGACGGGUAGCCGGCCUGAGAGAGUGACCGGCCACAUUGGGACUGAGAUACGGCGCAGACUCCUACGGGAGGCAGCAGUGGGGAAUAUUGCACAAUGGGCGGAAGCCUGAUGCAGCAACGCCGCGUGCGGGAUGACGGCCUUCGGGUUGUAAACCGCUUUCGCCUGUGACGAAGCGUGAGUGACGGUAAUGGGUAAAGAAGCACCGGCUAACUACGUG